AGAGAAGACAUGCGCGCAUAUCAAUAAGCGGAGGAAAAGAAACUAACAAGGAUUCCCUUAGUAACGGCGAGUGAAGCGGGAAGAGCUCAAAUUUGAAAUCUUCAAGGUUUUACCUUGACGAAUUGUAGUUUAAAGAAGUGUUUUCUGCUGAAGUUUUGGUAAAAGUUCUUUGGAAUAGGACAUCAUAGAGGGUGAGAAUCCCGUAUUUGACCAUUAUUUUCAGCUUUGUGAUACACUUUCAAAGAGUCGGAUUGUUUGGGAAUGCAGUCCAAAAUGGGUGGUAAAUUUCAUCUAAAGCUAAAUAUUGGCGAGAGACCGAUAGCGAACAAGUACCGUGAGGGAAAGAUGAAAAGAACUUUGAAAAGAGAGUUAAACAGUACGUGAAAUUGUCAAAAGGGAAGCGUUUGACACCAGUGUUGUUUUCUCGAAAAUCAAUUAAAAAUGGCUCGAUUUUGUAUUGUUGAGACCUUAAAAGCUCACUGUACAUUUUUCGUGUCUUUUUUAAUGCACUUUUCGUUUAACAAGUCAACAUCAGUUUCUUUUGUCGUAAAAGGGUCAUUGGAAGGUGGCUUUCUUUUCGGAGAAAGUGUUUAUAGCCUUUGGCCUCUGCAAUCGGAGAGACUGAGGUCUGCAGCGUAGACUCUUCGGGGUUAGAUACAUUUGUGCUAAGUUAUAGCUUUUUAUAGGACAACUUGUUGACUAUAAUUAGUCUUGUAGCUUACUCGCUUAUGCUAUUUUACCUACGCUUAGGAUGUUGAAGUCAUCGUAUCGCGC
RNAcentral lists this ribosomal RNA (774 nucleotides) under uncultured Neocallimastigales. Its description in RNAcentral is "partial large subunit ribosomal RNA". It matches the Rfam family "Eukaryotic large subunit ribosomal RNA", at positions 17 to 645 of the family's 3401-position model. Lineage: Eukaryota; Fungi; Neocallimastigomycota; Neocallimastigomycetes; Neocallimastigales. The record is from RNAcentral.